Molecule: ribosomal RNA, 578 nt
Filed under: Enterobacter cloacae
Lineage: Bacteria; Pseudomonadati; Pseudomonadota; Gammaproteobacteria; Enterobacterales; Enterobacteriaceae
Description: bacterial SSU rRNA
Rfam family: Bacterial small subunit ribosomal RNA
Source: RNAcentral
GGGGAUAACUACUGGAAACGGUAGCUAAUACCGCAUAACGUCGCAAGACCAAAGAGGGGGACCUUCGGGCCUCUUGCCAUCAGAUGUGCCCAGAUGGGAUUAGCUAGUAGGUGGGGUAACGGCUCACCUAGGCGACGAUCCCUAGCUGGUCUGAGAGGAUGACCAGCCACACUGGAACUGAGACACGGUCCAGACUCCUACGGGAGGCAGCAGUGGGGAAUAUUGCACAAUGGGCGCAAGCCUGAUGCAGCCAUGCCGCGUGUAUGAAGAAGGCCUUCGGGUUGUAAAGUACUUUCAGCGGGGAGGAAGGUGUUGAGGUUAAUAACCUCAGCAAUUGACGUUACCCGCAGAAGAAGCACCGGCUAACUCCGUGCCAGCAGCCGCGGUAAUACGGAGGGUGCAAGCGUUAAUCGGAAUUACUGGGCGUAAAGCGCACGCAGGCGGUCUGUCAAGUCGGAUGUGAAAUCCCCGGGCUCAACCUGGGAACUGCAUUCGAAACUGGCAGGCUGGAGUCUUGUAGAGGGGGGUAGAAUUCCAGGUGUAGCGGUGAAAUGCGUAGAGAUCUGGAGGAAUACCGG